GCUUAGAUAGUUUAAUAAAAAAUGUUGGUUUGUGGGGCCAGAGAUGUUGGUAAUUAACUUUGAGCA
RNAcentral lists this transfer RNA (66 nucleotides) under Neocaridina denticulata sinensis. RNAcentral describes it as "tRNA-His". It matches the Rfam family "tRNA". From Rfam's summary of the family: Transfer RNA (tRNA) molecules are approximately 80 nucleotides in length. RNAcentral also lists the same sequence under 1 other name. Lineage: Eukaryota; Metazoa; Arthropoda; Malacostraca; Decapoda; Atyidae. The record is from RNAcentral.